GAUGAAGAACGCAGCGAAAUGCGAUACGUAAUGUGAAUUGCAGAAUUCAGUGAAUCAUCGAGUCUUUGAACGCACAUUGCGCCCCCUGGUAUUCCGGGGGGCAUGCCUGUCCGAGCGUCAUUGCUGCCCUCAAGCACGGCUUGUGUGUUGGGCCUCCGUCCUCCUCCCGGGGGACGGGCCCGAAAGGCAGCGGCGGCACCGCGUCCGGUCCUCGAGCGUAUGGGGCUUCGUCACCCGCUCUUGUAGGCCCGGCCGGCGCUUGCCGACACAUCAAUCUUUUUUCCAGGUUGACCUCGGAUCAGGUAGGGAUACCCGCUGAACUUAAGCACAUCAAUAAGCGGAGGA
Molecule: unclassified non-coding RNA, 345 nt
Filed under: soil metagenome
Description: partial contains 5.8S ribosomal RNA, internal transcribed spacer 2, and large subunit ribosomal RNA
Rfam family: 5.8S ribosomal RNA (bases 1-120)
Source: RNAcentral